GGUCCAGACUCCUACGGGAGGCAGCAGUAGGGAAUUUUGCGCAAUGGGGGAAACCCUGACGCAGCAACGCCGCGUGAUUGAUGAAGCCCUUCGGGGUGUAAAGAUCUGUCAGUGGGGACGAAACUUGACGGUACCCACAGAGGAAGCAUCGGCUAACUCCGUGCCAGCAGCCGCGGUAAUACGGGGGAUGCAAGCGUUGUCCGGAAUCAUUGGGCGUAAAGAGUUCGUAGGUGGCACGUUAAGUCUGGUGUUAAAUGCAGAGGCUCAACCUCUGUUCGGCACUGGAUACUGGCGAGCUUGAAUGCGGUAGAGGUAAAGGGAAUUCCUGGUGUAGCGGUGAAAUGCGUAGAUAUCACGCAGAACUCCGAUUGCGAAGGCAGCAUACCGGCGCUCAACCGACGCUCAUGCACGAAAGUGUGGGUAUCGAACAGGAUUAGAUACCCCAGUA
RNAcentral lists this ribosomal RNA (448 nucleotides) under uncultured bacterium. Its description in RNAcentral is "bacterial SSU rRNA". It matches the Rfam family "Bacterial small subunit ribosomal RNA", at positions 328 to 792 of the family's 1533-position model. The record is from RNAcentral.